AAUAUAUUUUAUUUUGGUAUUUAUAAUUUCUUGUUUCUUUUAUUUACAUGUCAGUUAUCGCUUGCAUAUUUUAAAAUCUUUCCGACAGUAAAUAUUUUUAAUUAUGAAAGAAAUUUCGAAUUAGAAAUUGACUUUAGAAUUAACUAAUUUUGUGCCAGCAGUUGCGGUUAAACAAUAAAUUCAGAGAAAUUACAAAAUAAUAUUAAUUAUAAUGAAUAAACAGAAUAAAAAUAUUUAAUUUUAAGGUAAAAUUUUUAAUUUGAUCUAAUGUUCAACUUUAUAAAUUGAGAAAUUAUUAGUUAAACCAGGAUUAGAUACCCUGUUAUUUUUAUGUAAAUUUUUGGAGUAGUAAAAGUUACGAUCUCGAAACUCAAAAGAUUUGGCGGUACUUUAUCUUAUCAGAGGAACCUGUUUAUUAAUUGAUAUUCCACAAUUAUUAUUUACUUUUAUUAAAUUACUUGUAUACCGCUGUCAUGAGUAUAUUAAGAAAUUUUAUUUUCUGUGGUUUUUAUGAAAUUUAUGUUAGGUCAAGGUGCAGUAUUUAAAAGAAAAAAAUGGGUUACACUAAAUAUUAUGGAUGGAAUUAGUUAAAUUGAAUACUAAGAAAAUUGGAUUUGAAAGUAAAAGAAUUUAUAAAAAUAAUAUGAAUAAAGAUUCUAAAGUAUGCACACAUUGCCCGUCACUCUUGUUUAAAGCAAGAUAAGUCGUAACAUAGUAGAUGUACCGGAAGGUGUAUCUGGAAUUAA
RNAcentral lists this non-coding RNA (746 nucleotides) under Trioza frangulae. The record is from RNAcentral. Lineage: Eukaryota; Metazoa; Arthropoda; Insecta; Hemiptera; Triozidae.